Non-coding RNA from Procambarus clarkii (red swamp crayfish), 496 nucleotides. Lineage: Eukaryota; Metazoa; Arthropoda; Malacostraca; Decapoda; Cambaridae. The record is from RefSeq and is a predicted model, not a curated record.
CUCUGGAGUGACGGACGGACGUGUGCUGAGUAGCGCUAAUCCUCCCACCUGGAAUAUACCGAGUAAUCUGUGAGGGAGCGUGAACUAUGGCAUGGAUCGUUAGUGUUGAGGUCGCCGCCACCGUGACUCUGGACGACGACACCGGCAAGAUGGCCAUGUUGAUGGUGGUGGUGGUGGUCUCCUCCAUGUUUGAUUAUAGUCGCUCCUUCUCCAGCAUCACUUGUCAUCUUGGAUUACAACGACUGGGAUAUGCGGGGGCCGGACUGUUUGCCCGAGGAACCACUGCCGGCGGUUAUGGACGGUGAGGGAGAUUCACCUGUCACGGGUUGUCAAUACCCGCUGUGGUCACCGCCUGCUGGCUGCUUGACUGGACGAUGGCACCCACAUCACCACCAUCAUCAUCAAGAUGGUAGACAGUGUGUUGUAUCGUGAUCACUGCUUCUCCGGCCUCGCUGCCAUCUUGGACUACAAGAAUCAGGGGCCAGAUUCACAAAGC